This 420-nucleotide ribosomal RNA is filed under the name bacterium. Its description in RNAcentral is "partial 16S ribosomal RNA". It matches the Rfam family "Bacterial small subunit ribosomal RNA", at positions 355 to 776 of the family's 1533-position model. The record is from RNAcentral.
UGGGGGAUAUUGCACAAUGGGCGAAAGCCUGAUGCAGCGACGCCGCGUGGGGGAUGAAGGCUUUCGGGUUGUAAACCUCUUUCGCUAUCGAACAAGGCCCGCUUAGGGUGGGUUGAGGGUAGGUGGAGAAGAAGCGCCGGCUAACUACGUGCCAGCAGCCGCGGUAAUACGUAGGGCGCGAGCGUUGUCCGGAAUUAUUGGGCGUAAAGGGCUUGUAGGCGGCUUGUUGCGCCUGCUGUGAAAACGCGGGGCUUAACUUCGCGCGUGCAGUGGGUACGGGCAGGAUGGAGUGUGGUAGGGGUGACUGGAAUUCCAGGUGUAGCGGUGGAAUGCGCAGAUAUCUGGAGGAACACAGAUGGCGAAGGCAGGUCACUGGGCCAUUACUGACGCUGAGGAGCGAAAGCAUGGGUAGCGAACAGG